AUUGAACGCUGGCGGCAGGCCUAACACAUGCAAGUCGAGCGGAAACGAGUUAUCUGAACCUUCGGGGAACGAUAACGGCGUCGAGCGGCGGACGGGUGAGUAAUGCCUAGGAAAUUGCCCUGAUGUGGGGGAUAACCAUUGGAAACGAUGGCUAAUACCGCAUGAUGCCUACGGGCCAAAGAGGGGGACCUUCGGGCCUCUCGCGUCAGGAUAUGCCUAGGUGGGAUUAGCUAGUUGGUGAGGUAAGGGCUCACCAAGGCGACGAUCCCUAGCUGGUCUGAGAGGAUGAUCAGCCACACUGGAACUGAGACACGGUCCAGACUCCUACGGGAGGCAGCAGUGGGGAAUAUUGCACAAUGGGCGCAAGCCUGAUGCAGCCAUGCCGCGUGUGUGAAGAAGGCCUUCGGGUUGUAAAGCACUUUCAGUCGUGAGGAAGGUGGUGUAGUUAAUAGCUGCAUUAUUUGACGUUAGCGACAGAAGAAGCACCGGCUAACUCCGUGCCAGCAGCCGCGGUAAUACGGAGGGUGCGAGCGUUAAUCGGAAUUACUGGGCGUAAAGCGCAUGCAGGUGGUUUGUUAAGUCAGAUGUGAAAGCCCGGGGCUCAACCUCGGAAUAGCAUUUGAAACUGGCAGACUAGAGUACUGUAGAGGGGGGUAGAAUUUCAGGUGUAGCGGUGAAAUGCGUAGAGAUCUGAAGGAAUACCGGUGGCGAAGGCGGCCCCCUGGACAGAUACUGACACUCAGAUGCGAAAGCGUGGGGAGCAAACAGGAUUAGAUACCCUGGUAGUCCACGCCGUAAACGAUGUCUACUUGGAGGUUGUGGCCUUGAGCCGUGGCUUUCGGAGCUAACGCGUUAAGUAGACCGCCUGGGGAGUACGGUCGCAAGAUUAAAACUCAAAUGAAUUGACGGGGGCCCGCACAAGCGGUGGAGCAUGUGGUUUAAUUCGAUGCAACGCGAAGAACCUUACCUACUCUUGACAUCCAGAGAACUUUCCAGAGAUGGAUUGGUGCCUUCGGGAACUCUGAGACAGGUGCUGCAUGGCUGUCGUCAGCUCGUGUUGUGAAAUGUUGGGUUAAGUCCCGCAACGAGCGCAACCCUUAUCCUUGUUUGCCAGCGAGUAAUGUCGGGAACUCCAGGGAGACUGCCGGUGAUAAACCGGAGGAAGGUGGGGACGACGUCAAGUCAUCAUGGCCCUUACGAGUAGGGCUACACACGUGCUACAAUGGCGCAUACAGAGGGCGGCCAACUUGCGAAAGUGAGCGAAUCCCAAAAAGUGCGUCGUAGUCCGGAUUGGAGUCUGCAACUCGACUCCAUGAAGUCGGAAUCGCUAGUAAUCGUGGAUCAGAAUGCCACGGUGAAUACGUUCCCGGGCCUUGUACACACCGCCCGUCACACCAUGGGAGUGGGCUGCAAAAGAAGUAGGUAGUUUAACCUUCGGGGGGACGCUUACCACUUUGUGGUUCAUGACUGG
This 1471-nucleotide ribosomal RNA is filed under the name Vibrio alginolyticus. Its description in RNAcentral is "bacterial SSU rRNA". It matches the Rfam family "Bacterial small subunit ribosomal RNA". Lineage: Bacteria; Pseudomonadati; Pseudomonadota; Gammaproteobacteria; Vibrionales; Vibrionaceae. RNAcentral also lists the same sequence under 7 other names. The record is from RNAcentral.